RNAcentral lists this ribosomal RNA (480 nucleotides) under uncultured bacterium. RNAcentral describes it as "partial 16S ribosomal RNA". It matches the Rfam family "Bacterial small subunit ribosomal RNA", at positions 29 to 507 of the family's 1533-position model. The record is from RNAcentral.
AUGAACGCUGGCGGCGUGCUUAACACAUGCAAGUCGAACGAAGCAUUUAAGACAGAUUACUUCGGUUUGAAGUCUUUUAUGACUGAGUGGCGGACGGGUGAGUAACGCGUGGGUAACCUGCCUCAUACAGGGGGAUAGCAGCUGGAAACGGCUGGUAAUACCGCAUAAGCGCACAGUACCACAUGGUACAGUGUGAAAAACUCCGGUGGUAUGAGAUGGACCCGCGUCUGAUUAGCUAGUUGGCGGGGUAACGGCCCACCAAGGCGACGAUCAGUAGCCGACCUGAGAGGGUGACCGGCCACAUUGGGACUGAGACACGGCCCAGACUCCUACGGGAGGCAGCAGUGGGGAAUAUUGCACAAUGGAGGAAACUCUGAUGCAGCGACGCCGCGUGAGUGAAGAAGUAGUUCGCUAUGUAAAGCUCUAUCAGCAGGGAAGAUAGUGACGGUACCUGACUAAGAAGCUCCGGCUAAAUACGUG